GCGGGCUCCCCUUCCCCCGCCGCGGGCUCCUCGCCUCGGCCGCCCCGGCUGCGGCCCCUCCGGCGGGCGCACGGCCGGGCAUGUCCGCGGCGCAGGUGUCGGAGCGGCGGGGCUGGGGGGCGGCCCAGGAGCCCCGGCAGCCCGAGCCCGGCUCGCCCAGCGGGGAGGAGGCGGCGGACGAGGGCGGCCGGAGCAGGGAAGCUCCGGCGCCCAAGGAGAACGCGUGGACGCGGCGUAGAGCCCGGCGGGACAGCCCUUCCCCGCCCGCGGGGCCGGACGGGCGGCUCGCAGCGCAGGAACCAGAACUACAAAAUUCCACUAAAGUGAUAAAAGCGGGAAAACCCAGGACAAGAAAAAGCAGCAAGGCUGAUGAUUUGGGCGAUAUCACAAGCUGGCCGACCCCGAGCGAAAUAGCAAACAAUGAAGUAAGUGUCCUUUGUAAUCCUCAGGAUUAUUAUUAUUUUUUUUAAACCAUAUUGGCUUAUCUGUUUCAUACUGUCCCCCCCAGAAUGUGCUUCGAGUGUUGUAGGGUUUCAGUAGAAGUUUUGUCAGUAAUUCAGGAUACUGGUGUGUGCUAACUGUCUGCACUGUACUGGAAUUUGGUAGUGGUCUGCCAUGGACAUGUGCAUUAAAUAGUGCCUUAUUUUUUAAUUCCACUGUUUAAAACGUUUCAUUUACCUUUUUCUGCUGUUUUCAUCUGUUUAUGCACGGAUGAAAAGGCUUUGAAGUUGUGGAUAUGCUGCCCUCUCUCGUGGCUCAGAGUGCUUAGUGCCCAUUGUCUGAACACAAUUUAGUUAUUCUUGGUUACCUUAUUCCUCUGAUAUAUUUUUCCCCUUCUGGGUUUUAAGCUAACUAUUCUGUCAAAUUAUCCUCCUUUCUCUUUAUCUCAAGUGAUAAGUACAUAAUGUAUUUUAGACCUCUCUGAUGCUAUUUAAAACAAGAAGAGAACACAGAUUAUUGCAAAUGGUGAGGUGCCACUUCACUGUGCUGUAGCUCUGCAGCAGCAUCCCUGUGGUGCUUUUACUGUGUUCUUGGGCAGGAAAACCACAACAUCUGGCUUCAACCACAUGCAUUUUAUAGCUGAAAGGCUCCAAAUUCAUGUAGUGUCUGUAAAACAAAAUAACAUUUGAACUUAGUUUAUUUGUCAUGGGGAAGGCUUUGUGCUCAAAUUAAUUAGAGCACAGUCCUGCAGUAUCUAGUGUAUGUAUUCCAGCAGGUUCAAAGCUGUCUCCACAACAUAGUGAAAUUCUUUCUCUUUAGCAGAAAUGUCUGCAAAACUUCUCAUGUUGCAGGUAAAAAUU
RNAcentral lists this long non-coding RNA (1301 nucleotides) under Camarhynchus parvulus. RNAcentral describes it as "lncRNA (ENSCPVG00000017227.1)". The record is from RNAcentral. Lineage: Eukaryota; Metazoa; Chordata; Aves; Passeriformes; Thraupidae.